RNAcentral lists this small RNA (1059 nucleotides) under Histoplasma capsulatum var. duboisii H88. RNAcentral describes it as "Histoplasma capsulatum H88 hypothetical RNA". The record is from RNAcentral. Lineage: Eukaryota; Fungi; Ascomycota; Eurotiomycetes; Onygenales; Ajellomycetaceae.
CCGCCGUGUGUCCCCACCAGAACCACCUCUUCCCCGUCUCAAGGGCAGAUAGUUCUUGCACGGUAUCUCUCUGGGUCUGCCUGCGUUGGAGAGAGAGUUACAUCGGUUCUCCCCUACGGCAGUCCCUUGGAAGCCCCCUGCCCGAAAGCGCCCAUGGAUCGUCGAUAUCAGCAUCAUCCCUGACCUGAAUAUAUGUCCAGACACCAAAUCACGGCCAGACCACCAUUAUUCAACAUUUGAUACGCACGAUGACCCAAAUCGCCAAAAUGAAACAAGCAGCUAUCUCAGCCAAUCAAGUCGUUGCUAUCGGCAAAAACUAGCUUCCCAAGCCCACUCAUGAUUUCUUUUUUUCAGUUUGCUUGCGUGCCCUCCUCCCCCAUUUUUUUUUUGCGAAGUUCCUCCUCCACGAAUUAGCUCAUCCACUAACCAGGUAAGUUCAGACCAGUCCCCGCCAGACUUGUGCUAAAACCCGACUACUCCAAAAGCAAGGCUUUCAUAGGGGCAAAGAGCCAAAAAAGAGAGAUAGCAUCUUGCAGAUCGCAAGCGAUCAGUCCCUAGGAUAGAGUUCGCUUCGUUGGCUUUUGCGCAUCCAUCGUCCUUCAUGUGAACGGUGGUGGUUCAUCACUGGCUAACUCUAAUCAGGACGGCUGAGCACGAGCUCGUGAUGAUGGUGAUAGUGCACGCUAUGGUGGUCACAGCUUUUGGUGAUAGUCAGGAAAGACGAGACAGGAGCACUGUACAUUUCCAUUUCCUUGAUAUUGGAGCUACGAGCAGGAAUAAAUAAAUAGUAGAUAAUAAAAGUAGAUAAUAAAUAUACAUGCCAUGCACGGCUUGAAACUUGCUUUUAUGCAUGUUGCCGGAUUGCCAAAUCUUUGGAGCGCAACGCGCGGAAGCUCUCCACUCCCGCCAAGAUCGGAGGUUUAAAGGGGGGAUAUUUACGAAAAAGGAAAGGAAGAAAAAGAAAAGACAAAACGGGCAAAACAUGUAAAAAAGAAAAGAAAAGAAAAGAAAAGAAAAGAAAAGAAAAGAAAGAGAAAACACCACGUUCCUUGGGAUGGC